CUUUUAAAGGAAACGAGUCCUCC
RNAcentral lists this transfer RNA (23 nucleotides) under Proctoporus sp. UTAR52945. RNAcentral describes it as "partial tRNA-Leu". The record is from RNAcentral. Lineage: Eukaryota; Metazoa; Chordata; Lepidosauria; Squamata; Gymnophthalmidae.